UCCUGAUGUGAGAGGGGUAAGGAAAAACAGGAAAAGGAGGAGCCUGGUUGAGAUGAGAUAAGGAACCAGUCUGUGACUGUCAGUAGAACCAGUGGCUCUGGCGCAGAAGGCUUCAUGCCCUAUAACUUCAGUGGCACCUUGGCUGGAGCCUCUGUUUCUGUGUUUUAUUGGAGUUGGCUGCAUUGCGAGGCAGGGUGCGAUGUUGGUGUGUGUCUCCUCUGCAGCCUGGGAAACCACAGCACUAAUUCUCUGCGCGGCCACAGAAGCCGGUACGAAGCCACAGCGAGAAUCUGUAUGCUACUGGCUGUGUCACCACUGCUGUCUUCCAGGAACAGAAGGGGCUGCUUCUAUCUACAGCUGCUCUGGCCCUCCUCUUUGACCAGAAAGCCCUGGUUGAUGUGAUGUCCAUCAGUCUGUUGGCCUACUGUUGGUCAAAGGGAGCUGCAGGCGCCCAGGCCAGGCCUGCCUGGCUCCCUCCUGCCCUCUCCUGACGGGCAUGCAGCUGAUCACUCUGGCAUGAGCCUCUGCACCUCUCACCCAAUGUCUAACAUUGGGUAGAGAAGAGUGUGCUGCUCUGGGCUCUGCUUGCUGAGCACCACAGGGCUGCUCGUGUGUCGCUGGCCUGGCUCUCAUGGGGAUCCUGGAGACCACCCUGCUCAUCCAGAGGCAGCUGCAGAGCCAGGAGAGGGCAUCCUUCAUGCUGAGCAAGAGGCCUAGUGUCCAGGGGCCUUCCCAAAGGAGAGUGAUGUUAGGGACAGAAACAAGUGCCACGUCCUUCUGGGAAAAAGGGUUGUAUUGCAUGGCAUGAGGGCUGCUCUCUUCUAGGAUCAGGCCCUUCAAGAAGCACAGCCAGCUGCGGGUGCUGAAUGCCAUGGCCCUUGGCUGGCACAGCUGCUGGUCCUUCUUGUGCCUUCAUACCUGCUGCUGAGAUGGAGAGGAUGGGCA
Molecule: long non-coding RNA, 945 nt
Organism: Nothoprocta perdicaria
Lineage: Eukaryota; Metazoa; Chordata; Aves; Tinamiformes; Tinamidae
Exons: 3
Source: RefSeq, a predicted model, not a curated record